Molecule: unclassified non-coding RNA, 1174 nt
Filed under: Amphimedon queenslandica
Lineage: Eukaryota; Metazoa; Porifera; Demospongiae; Haplosclerida; Niphatidae
Description: uncharacterized LOC109583265, transcript variant X1
Source: RNAcentral
UACUCACUAUUUAAUGUCUCACACUAGCCUUUAGCUACUCACUAAUUAAUGUCUCUCACUAGCCCUUAGCUUCUCACUAUUUAUUGUCUCACACUAGCCCUUAGCUACUCACUUUUUAAUGUCUCACACUAGCCUUAGCUACUCACUAUUUAAUGUCCUUAGCUAUUCACUAUUUAAUAGGUCUGAGACUAAGGUCAUUUGCAACCUUCAACCUUCUACAUAAAAAAUUUGAAGCCUUUGAAGGUUUAUUGUACAUCAAAAAAAAUCACCCGCCUCUGUUUAUAAUGUCUAAAUUAUAGUUCAGCCCACUAUAUAAAGUUGUGGUCUGGAUAGACAAUCCCUAUGUAAACUUUUGACCACUUUAUCUAUUAAUAACUACUAAUAAUGACGCUUCAAAGUCUUAUUUUCUGCUUCAAAUGGCAGCACUUCCAACCAAGCUUCAAAUCCUUUGGAAGCUUAAAGUUUGUCCUAGUCCUACUAUUUAAUUUCUCACACUAGCCCUUAGCUACUCACUAUUAUUUUAAUGUCUCGCACUAAAUAAUCACCCUACUCUCUGAACAUGCUCUUUCCUCAUUCUAGAACAUUCUAUUGUAUGAUAUGCAGUGUAUUGGGAGAUUUGCCACUUUGAAAAAGAAUUUUUAUGGAACAAUUUGGCCACAGCAACCUUAGCUAUGUGACAAUUCUAACCAAGCAAAUUGUAAUUUCAUUGUGGCAAGGAUACAGUCAGGCCAGCUAUUGUACCAUGAACACAGGACCAGAUACUCCUUGUAGAUGUCCCGGAUGUUGUCUUAAAGAACUGCCGCAUGUUCACCAUUGUUACAGCAGAGGAUAAAGUCAUGAAAGAAUACUCAUCAACAAUACCUCAGCGAAGUGAUGUGGGUCAGUUACUAUUCUAUAUGCUGGGUGUAAUGAUACAAAAUGUAUCUGAUAAUAACCAAUAUCAAUUAGGAUUAUUUAUUGAGGGAAAUCAAAUUUUGCUAUGCUAUGGUUCUGCUACUGUAUCUGUUGGGAGCAGGGAAGUGGAGAUGGACUUCAAGGUGUUGCAGUUUAUUAAUUUAUUAGAUGUCAACUCACUGAAAAUGAUCUGUGACAGUAUAUUGUCUGUCAGAAACUUCAUUUUAGAGAACAAAUAAAAUUACUUAUCUCCUUGCUUAUUAUAGACAUACCUACAUGU